Molecule: ribosomal RNA, 484 nt
Filed under: uncultured bacterium
Lineage: Bacteria
Description: partial 16S ribosomal RNA
Rfam family: Bacterial small subunit ribosomal RNA
Source: RNAcentral
AUUGAACGCUGGCGGCAGGCCUAACACAUGCAAGUCGAGCGGCUGAAGGGAGCUUGCUCCUGGAUUCAGCGGCGGACGGGUGAGUAAUGCCUAGGAAUCUGCCUGGUAGUGGGGGAUAACGUCCGGAAACGGGCGCUCAUACCGCAUACGUCCUUAGGGAGAAAGUGUGGGAUCUUCGGACCUCACGCUCUCAGAUGAGCCUAUGUCGGAUUAGCUAGUUGGUGGGGUAAAGGCCUACCAAGGCGACGAUCCGUAACUGGUCUGAGAGGAUGAUCAGUCACACUGGAACUGAGACACGGUCCAGACUCCUACGGGAGGCAGCAGUGGGGAAUAUUGGACAAUGGGCGAAAGCCUGAUCCAGCCAUGCCGCGUGUGUGAAGAAGGUCUUCGGAUUGUAAAGCACUUUAAGUUGGGAGGAAGGGCAGUAAGUUAAUACCUUGCUGUUUUGACGUUACCAACAGAAUAAGCACCGGCUAACUUCGUG